RNAcentral lists this ribosomal RNA (1216 nucleotides) under Baracktrema obamai. Its description in RNAcentral is "eukaryotic LSU rRNA". It matches the Rfam family "Eukaryotic large subunit ribosomal RNA", at positions 104 to 918 of the family's 3401-position model. The record is from RNAcentral. Lineage: Eukaryota; Metazoa; Platyhelminthes; Trematoda; Strigeidida; Spirorchiidae.
UUAGCCCAGCACCGAAGCCUGUGGUCGCUUGACUGCUAGGCAAUGUGGUGUUUAGGUUGGUUCUUGGCAUUACUGCUUUAUCCCAAGUCCAGCAAUGAGUACGGCUUGUUGGAGUGGCCCAAAGAGGGUGAAAGGCCCGUGGGGGUUUAGCUAGUUUUGCCCUGAGCUGACCUUGGAGUCGGGUUGUUUGAGAAUGCAGCCCAAAGCGGGUGGUAAACUCCAUCCAAGGCUAAAUACUGACACGAGUCCGAUAGCGAACAAGUACCGUGAGGGAAAGUUGAAAAGUACUUUGAAGAGAGAGUAAACAGUGCGUGAAACCGCUCAGAGGUAAACGGGUGGAGUUGAACUGCAAUCCGUGAGGAUUCAGCUGAUGAGAUUGGCUUGAGCUUGGGCAUAUUUACCGGCCUUCGGGGUCCGCGCAUUGCGGGUUCCUGCCCUUUUUGGGUGGGGAUGCACGAGUACUAAUCAGGUGCCGUGUGCCUCGGGGGUUUUGGGUUUUCUCGUCAGUGCACUUUCUCAUGGUGUUCACCACGACCGGCGCUGUGUCUGUCUACCAUGGUCGAACCGGUUAGGCUUGGUGCAUCACUAGGCCUGGUCGGGAUGGCAGGUAGCUCACUGGUUCUUGUUGGCUUCGGCUGGCUUGAGCCUCCGAGUGUAAUUAGCUGGCUUUGGUAGAUCUGUGCCAUGCGUCGGAGCUGGCGGCUAUGGUGUGUGCGUGCGUGCUAUGGCUUUCUGACGGGGCUGGGUCUGGUUGGCAAGUUACCUGCUCAUGCAGGUCGUCAAUGUCUCAGUCUCGUUCGGCUGGCGGUGGCGUGCGUGACACUAGCUUUGGCCAAUAGUCUGUGGUGUAGUGGUAAACUAUCCACCCGACCCGUCUUGAAACACGGACCAAGGAGUUUAACAUGUACGCGAGUCAUUGGGCUUUACGAAACCCAAAGGCGCAGUGAAGGUAAAGGUUCGGCUUGUCCGGACUGAGGUGGGAUCCUGUUGUUUCUUCUGCCUGGAACUGCCAAGCAUCCGAGCUUCAGGCGCACCACCGGCCCGUCCCAUGGCGUAGUCAUGUAAUUUCUUAUGUGCACCGUCGGGGCGGAGCUAGAGCGUACACGUUGAGACCCGAAAGAUGGUGAACUAUGCUUGUGCAGGCUGAAGCCAGAGGAAACUCUGGUGGAGGGCCGCAGCGAUUCUGACGUGCAAAUCGAUCGUCUAACAUGAGUAU